GCUUGCUUCCAAUUCCUAAACAAGUUUAUGGCCGAACAACACGUCAAUUUAAGGACAUAAAUAUAGCUACAAUAGAAGGAUCAUCAGCAGACGUAGACACACAUUUGUUGGAGGAAAUACAACAACUCAAGGAGCAUGCAAGAAAACAAGACAAAGUUAUUGAUGAACUCAUAAACAAGAAAAGACACAAUGAGAAUGAAGAAGUGAUAAAGGAACUGACUGCUCAUGGUGAUUUUCAGACUGGCCAUGCUAACCUUCAGAAUCAUGUAGUGCAUUCCAAUAGAAAGGUAGUUUUGUUGUUAUCAGGUUUUCACAGAAUUGUCUCUAUUGACCUUAAUGUUAUUUGAAAUAUGUAGAGAGUUCGAUGCACUGAACCAGACCAUGGAGAUGCAAUCUGUCAACAAAAUGUUGCACUAAACAUCCGUACAUGUGUAUCCGAAUACAGCGACAAUGUUGAUCCAAUUAUGUCCCACAAAAAGGUUAUCAUGAUGUUCCUAUCAUUUCACAACAUUCUACUCAUAGCAGAUUAUAUGUUGAUAUUUGGGUUUACUAUUUUAAGUUUGCAUGAUUUUUUUGUUGUAUUUAGCGUCAAGGUGAUGCAAAUCGCAAGCAAUUAUCACAUCAAGCAGAAGAGCCACUCUCGCCACAAUGCUCUAGUAUUGGUUUUGGACAAAAAGAGGUUGAUGAAUGCACACAAAAUUCAAUUGAUCAUAGAAUAAGAAGAAAAACAAAGAACCAACAAGGAGUACUCAAAGAGAACCGGAUCAUGGCACAGAAAAUUGCUCAGGAUAAAGCUAUGGGCCAUAAUAAUUCAAAAUUUACACAACCUCGUCCAAUUAAGGAUGGAACCACAGUGAUACUUAAGACAGCAAGCCGUCCAAAUAAGGCAAUUGUGGCCUAUGCAACCAUUCUGAGCUCUAGUCCAAAAGAAAGUGUUGGUGGAGUUGAGAUAGGAAAACAAUUCUACAAAGUCCGAAUCAACCAUCCUGUUUUACAAGAUGAGCCUUUGGUUAGGCCCAUGCCUGGCUACGACAAAAUUGGUGAUGCCCAUGCAAAAGGAGUAGCAAUUGCUUGGCCUUGGCUUUGUGUUCAAAUGAUCAAUGGAUGAAUUUGUAGAUUUGGAUGCGCAUGAGACAUGACCAAGAAACAUGAAUUCCAAGAAUAUUUCUUAUUUGUAGUUACAUUUCAUUUCCACCUUUACAGACUUGUACUAUCUACCACUUGCUACAUUUAUUCCCUAGAAUCAUAUCAUUGUGUAAAUAUAUAAUUGUAUUUUGUGAACAAGUACUAUGUUUUUACCUUCCUCCAAUCAAUGCAAGUGAUUACUCGAAGUUGUGAUUUU
This is an RNA transcript of Zea mays, 1342 nucleotides long. RefSeq lists it as uncharacterized. Lineage: Eukaryota; Viridiplantae; Streptophyta; Magnoliopsida; Poales; Poaceae. The transcript is spliced from 7 exons. The record is from RefSeq and is a predicted model, not a curated record.